CUAGCGCAGCUAUACUGCAGUCGAGCGGACUUAAAAAGCUUGCUUUUUAAGUUAGCGGCGGACGGGUGAGUAACACGUGGGCAACCUGCCUGUAAGACUGGGAUAACUUCGGGAAACCGGAGCUAAUACCGGAUAAUCCUUUUCUACUCAUGUAGAAAAGCUGAAAGACGGUUUACGCUGUCACUUACAGAUGGGCCCGCGGCGCAUUAGCUAGUUGGUGAGGUAACGGCUCACCAAGGCGACGAUGCGUAGCCGACCUGAGAGGGUGAUCGGCCACACUGGGACUGAGACACGGCCCAGACUCCUACGGGAGGCAGCAGUAGGGAAUCUUCCGCAAUGGACGAAAGUCUGACGGAGCAACGCCGCGUGAGUGAUGAAGGUUUUCGGAUCGUAAAACUCUGUUGUUAGGGAAGAACAAGUACGAGAGUAACUGCUCGUACCUUGACGGUACCUAACCAGAAAGCCACGGCUAACUACGUGCCAGCAGCCGCGGUAAUACGUAGGUGGCAAGCGUUGUCCGGAAUUAUUGGGCGUAAAGCGCGCGCAGGCGGUCCUUUAAGUCUGAUGUGAAAGCCCACGGCUCAACCGUGGAGGGUCAUUGGAAACUGGGGGACUUGAGUGCAAAAGACAAA
RNAcentral lists this ribosomal RNA (632 nucleotides) under Niallia nealsonii. RNAcentral describes it as "bacterial SSU rRNA". It matches the Rfam family "Bacterial small subunit ribosomal RNA", at positions 36 to 659 of the family's 1533-position model. Lineage: Bacteria; Bacillati; Bacillota; Bacilli; Caryophanales; Bacillaceae. The record is from RNAcentral.